UACGAAGGGGGCGAGCGUUGUUCGGAAUUACUGGGCGUAAAGGGCGCGUAGGUGGCGCCGUAAGUCAGGUGUGAAAUCUCGGGGCUCAACCCCGAAACUGCACUUGAUACUGCGGCGCUCGAGUACUGGAGAGGAGAUUGGAAUUUACGGUGUAGCAGUGAAAUGCGUAGAUAUCGUAAGGAAGACCAGUGGCGAAGGCGAAUCUCUGGACAGUUACUGACACUGAGGCACGAAGGCCAGGGGAGCAAACGGG
Molecule: ribosomal RNA, 253 nt
Filed under: uncultured bacterium
Lineage: Bacteria
Description: partial 16S ribosomal RNA
Rfam family: Bacterial small subunit ribosomal RNA
Source: RNAcentral